UGCCUGGAAAACGGGUUGGAGAUCAC
RNAcentral lists this non-coding RNA (26 nucleotides) under Homo sapiens (human). Lineage: Eukaryota; Metazoa; Chordata; Mammalia; Primates; Hominidae. The record is from RNAcentral.